UACGUAGGGGGCAAGCGUUGUCCGGAAUCAUUGGGCGUAAAGCGCGUGUAGGCGGUUACGUAAGUCUGCUGUGAAAGUCGGAGGCGCAACCUUCGAAAGCCGGUGGAUACUGCGUGACUAGAGUACGGAAGAGGAGAGUGGAAUUCCUGGUGUAGCGGUGAAAUGCGUAGAUAUCUGGAGGAACACCGGUGGCGAAGGCGGCAUCCUGGACCGGUAUUGACGCUGAGGCGCGAAAGCCAGGGGAGCAAACGGG
Molecule: ribosomal RNA, 253 nt
Filed under: uncultured bacterium
Lineage: Bacteria
Description: partial 16S ribosomal RNA
Rfam family: Bacterial small subunit ribosomal RNA
Source: RNAcentral